Molecule: transfer RNA, 73 nt
Filed under: Lachnotalea glycerini
Lineage: Bacteria; Bacillati; Bacillota; Clostridia; Lachnospirales; Lachnospiraceae
Also listed under: 2 other names
Rfam family: tRNA
About the family: Transfer RNA (tRNA) molecules are approximately 80 nucleotides in length. Their secondary structure includes four short double-helical elements and three loops (D, anti-codon, and T loops).
Source: Rfam by way of RNAcentral
GCUGUUAUAGCUCAGGUGGUAGAGCGCAACAUUGGUAGUGUUGAGGUCACGAGUUCGACUCUCGUUAACAGCU